ACCCUCUCAGCAUCACAUCUGGAGAGUUUCCUAUACUCUACCAGUGUUGACUAUGGGAGGGAGAGUCAAGCAGAGGCCUAACCAUUCCUUUCCUAGCUUGGGCAGUGGCUAGCGAGUGGAAGGCAAUCUGCUGCAAGU
Molecule: small nucleolar RNA, 138 nt
Filed under: Ornithorhynchus anatinus (platypus)
Lineage: Eukaryota; Metazoa; Chordata; Mammalia; Monotremata; Ornithorhynchidae
Source: RNAcentral